CCCCGCUCAACCCCCAGUGAAGGGCUAAUUUCCGUAAACGUGCCUUAAUUAAACGUUAUCUUCGUACACCGCGGUGAAGAUAGCAACAGUGUUAGUGGGGUUUCUCGACCCAUUUCGUUUGACAGAUCGAGAAUGGUCGACUCUGUUGGUCGAUUAAGUAAUACGGCGUCGAUGAAGACGUUAGGAGGCUCGCCAGACUAAUUGUUACUGGGGAAUGAUAGCGGAGUAGAGAAACAUGAAGUUUCGGUAGAGGUGAUUAAUCCGUCCGAAUCCUUGAAUGCAACACGUGUGAUUAUACAGUAUGCAUUUAUGAUUGCAUCCCACGGAGAAGCAUUUGCCCAGUAGCCGGUGACACGUUACACGUACACGUGCACCUACGUUACACGUAAACCACCAGACUGACUGCAGAGUUUGAUAACAGAGUUUGGCAAACCUGGAGGUAUUCCCUUUGAGACAGCAUAUACCGUACAGAGAAUCUGUCAUUUGCAUUUCAUCUGGAUAUAUGGACCCAAUGGCGUAGACAACGUAAGGCGACAAAGUGGAAAUUCAGUAAUGAGGGGUUGUCGGAUGAGCCACGAUGUUAACGUUAUAGUCGACUUCAUCUGGAAAGAUUCGUUAUGAAUGAGCUUAAUGGUUCCUGUUAUCUCAAAUAGGGACCCAAUGGCGUAGACAACUUACGGCGACAAAGUGGAAAUUCAGUAAUGAGGGGUUGUCGGAUGAGCCACGGUGUUAACGUUACAGUCGACUUCAUCUGGAAAGAUUCGUUAUGAAUGAGCUUGAUGGUUCUUGUUAUCUGAAAUAGGUUUUUACCUAUUCGUUAUGAAUGAGCUUCUUGAUGGUUCCUGUCAUCUGAAAUAGGUUUUUACCGAGGCUACGCUCUUGUCAAUCUCAUGUAAAGCAACUAUCGUUGAUUAAAUAACUUAAAUAAUAACUUAAUUAAAUAACUCCAGUAAGUAGCAGCAAAACUGAAGUUCUGGCUAGAACAGUCUGGAGUGGGCUUAUCGCUAUUAUCAAAUGGACUUUCUGAUGGGGAUAAUUAAAGCCAUCUUAAUUAUCAUUAUUAUUGCAACAGGUGAAAGAAAUCCAUAGCCUCUCACCUCUUUUUAGUCCACCAUUUAAGGUCGUCCAUGUUUAUCGCUUCCGUUAUAAAAAUUGUUACCAGUGGCGCCAUCAAGCGUUCACUUUGGCAAGAAGCAAGUAGCUGUCGUCGAGACCAAUAUCAGGAAGUCGUCCCGACGCCAUUUUGAGAGAAGAAAAGUACGUGGUCGUCCGUAAAGCACUUCCGCGAGGCAGUGCGAGCUACGGUAGUGUACGUUGGAGGAUCUAUUGUCUGAAGAAAAAAAAAAAUCCAACCAUCAAGCAAAGCUACGUGGGAUGAAAAUCUACGUGGUAAAAGUGACAAGUUUUCAUACCGUAAAAACGCAAAAGUGGUUUCGUCGUCCGCUACACCGUGAGACGUAAGAAUUGUCGCCUGAGCCCAAGCGUGUAAUUUAUGAAAGCAUAAGUAUGAUACAAGCCGUAUAUAAAAGAAAUAAAUGAUCCUUAGUCCGUUAGGUAAUAGUUCUGUCAAUUCGUAUUGACCGAAUAACGUAUUGUGUUAUUGGUCUUAAAGUUUUAAUAAAAUUGUUCUGCUUACCGUUAUGGGAACUAA
Molecule: long non-coding RNA, 1651 nt
Organism: Cephus cinctus (wheat stem sawfly)
Lineage: Eukaryota; Metazoa; Arthropoda; Insecta; Hymenoptera; Cephidae
Exons: 7
Source: RefSeq, a predicted model, not a curated record